Molecule: unclassified non-coding RNA, 331 nt
Filed under: soil metagenome
Description: partial contains 5.8S ribosomal RNA, internal transcribed spacer 2, and large subunit ribosomal RNA
Rfam family: 5.8S ribosomal RNA (bases 1-120)
Source: RNAcentral
GAUGAAGAACGCAGCGAAAUGCGAUAAGUAAUGUGAAUUGCAGAAUUCAGUGAAUCAUCGAAUCUUUGAACGCACAUUGCGCCCCCUGGUAUUCCGGGGGGCAUGCCCGUUCGAGCGUCAUUUCACCACUCAAGCCUCGCUUGGUAUUGGGCAACGCGGUCCGCCGCGUGCCUCAAAUCGUCCGGCUGGGUCUUCUGUCCCCUAAGCGUUGUGGAAACUAUUCGCUAAAGGGUGUUCGGGAGGCUACGCCGUAAAACAACCCCAUUUCUAAGGUUGACCUCGGAUCAGGUAGGGAUACCCGCUGAACUUAAGCAUAUCAAUAAGCGGAGGA